UACGUAGGGUGCAAGCGUUAAUCGGAAUUACUGGGCGUAAAGCGUGCGCAGGCGGUUUUGUAGGCCAGAUGUGAAAUCCCCGGGCUUAACCUGGGAAUGGCAUUUGGGACUGCAAGGCUUGAGUGCGGCAGAGGAGACUGGAAUUCCUGGUGUAGCAGUGAAAUGCGUAGAUAUCAGGAGGAACACCGAUGGCGAAGGCAGGUCUCUGGGCAUUAACUGACGCUGAGGAGCGAAAGCAUGGGGAGCGAACAGG
This 253-nucleotide ribosomal RNA is filed under the name uncultured bacterium. RNAcentral's name for it is "partial 16S ribosomal RNA". It matches the Rfam family "Bacterial small subunit ribosomal RNA", at positions 524 to 776 of the family's 1533-position model. The record is from RNAcentral.